GGGGCUGAUCGGUUUCGACUUGGGACGUUAGUCCCAGGGGAAGCGGGUCGAGAAGGCAGCGUCAUCUCGUAAACGAUCGCUGCAAAACCAUAGUUGCCAACACCAAUCGCAACGACUUCGCUCUCGCUGCCUGAGCAGUGAUCGAAGGGUCUGACCGGGCACCCGUCCUCGUCCCGGACCCAGGCCUCAUCUAGAGGACUUGCUGGCCACUCUCUGUCAGGAGGGGUGGCCGGGACUUCAUCCUGACUGGGCCUGUCGGCGACGUGUCUGUGCGAGCGCCGGGGCCGAGAAAAGCGACAACACAGACUGCACCCGGAGAAGACCUGGUUCGACGCUCGAGGACGCGGGUUCGAUUCCCGCCAGCUCCACAC
This is a non-coding RNA of Nocardioides sp. Soil805, 371 nucleotides long. NCBI's taxonomy places the organism in Bacteria, Bacillati, Actinomycetota, Actinomycetes, Propionibacteriales, Nocardioidaceae. The record is from Rfam.